This 326-nucleotide ribosomal RNA is filed under the name uncultured Armatimonadota bacterium. RNAcentral describes it as "bacterial SSU rRNA". It matches the Rfam family "Bacterial small subunit ribosomal RNA", at positions 28 to 351 of the family's 1533-position model. Lineage: Bacteria; Bacillati; Armatimonadota. The record is from RNAcentral.
GACGAACGCUUGCGGCGUGCCUAAGAAAUGCAAGUCGAGCGAGGUUUAGUCUUCGGACGAAGACCUAGCGGCGAACGGUCGCGUAACACGUAAGCAACCUGCCCUAAAGUUGGGGAUAGCCCUCCGAAAGGAGGAUUAAUACCGAAUGUGGACACUGCCUCGCAUGUAGCGGUGUCUAAAGCAGCAAUGCGCUUUAGGAUGGGCUUGCGGCCUAUCAGCUAGUUGGUGUGGGUAAUGGCUCACCAAGGCGACGACGGGUAGCUGGUCUGAGAGGAUGGUCAGCCGGACUGGGACUGAGAUACGGCCCAGACUCCUACGGGAGGCUG